This 71-nucleotide transfer RNA is filed under the name Actinomycetes bacterium. RNAcentral's name for it is "tRNA-Gln". It matches the Rfam family "tRNA". Rfam says of the family: Transfer RNA (tRNA) molecules are approximately 80 nucleotides in length. Their secondary structure includes four short double-helical elements and three loops (D, anti-codon, and T loops). Further hydrogen bonds mediate the characteristic L-shaped molecular structure. tRNAs have two regions of fundamental functional importance: the anti-codon, which is responsible for specific mRNA codon recognition, and the 3' end, to which the tRNAs corresponding amino acid is attached (by aminoacyl-tRNA synthetases). tRNAs cope with the degeneracy of the genetic code in two manners: having more than one tRNA (with a specific anti-codon) for a particular amino acid; and 'wobble' base-pairing, i.e. permitting non-standard base-pairing at the 3rd anti-codon position. Lineage: Bacteria; Bacillati; Actinomycetota; Actinomycetes. The record is from RNAcentral.
CCGCCGUGGUGUAAUCGGCAACACAUCGGACUUUGAAUCCGACAUUCCAGGUUCGAUCCCUGGCGGCGGAG